CCCUUUGGGACACCACCGGCGGACGGCUCAGUAACACGUCGGUAACCUACCCUCGGGAGGGGGAUAACCCCGGGAAACUGGGGCUAAUCCCCCAUAGGCCUGAGGUACUGGAAGGUCCUCAGGCCGAAAGGGACUCUGUCCGCCCGAGGAUGGGCCGGCGGCCGAUUAGGUAGUUGGUGGGGUAAUGGCCCACCAAGCCGAAGAUCGGUACGGGCUGUGAGAGCAGGAGCCCGGAGAUGGACACUGAGACACGGGUCCAGGCCCUACGGGGCGCAGCAGGCGCGAAACCUCCGCAAUGCGGGAAACCGCGACGGGGGGACCCCGAGUGCCGUGGCAACGCCACGGCUUUUCCGGAGUGUAAAAAGCUCCGGGAAUAAGGGCUGGGCAAGGCCGGUGGCAGCCGCCGCGGUAAUACCGGCGGCCCGAGUGGUGGCCGCUAUUAUUGGGCCUAAAGCGUCCGUAGCCGGGCCCGUAAGUCCCUGGCGAAAUCCCACGGCUCAACCGUGGGGCUUGCUGGGGAUACUGCGGGUCUUGGGACCGGGAGAGGCGGGGGGUACCCCUGGGGUAGGGGUGAAAUCCUAUAAUCCCAGGGGGACCGCCAGUGGCGAAGGCGCCCCGCUGGAACGGGUCCGACGGUGAGGGACGAAGGCCAGGGGAGCAAACCGGAUUAGAUACCCGGGUAGUCCUGGCUGUAAAGGAUGCGGGCUAGGUGUCGGGUGAGCUUCGAGCUCGCCCGGUGCCGUAGGGAAGCCGUUAAGCCCGCCGCCUGGGGAGUACGGCCGCAAGGCUGAAACUUAAAGGAAUUGGCGGGGGAGCACUACAAGGGGUGGAGCGUGCGGUUUAAUUGGAUUCAACGCCGGGAACCUCACCGGGGGCGACGGCAGGAUGAAGGCCAGGCUGAAGGUCUUGCCGGACACGCCGAGAGGAGGUGCAUGGCCGCCGUCAGCUCGUACCGUGAGGCGUCCACUUAAGUGUGGUAACGAGCGAGACCCGUGCCCCCAGUUGCCAGCCCUUCCCGCUCGGGAAGGGGGCACUCUGGGGGGACUGCCGGCGAUAAGCCGGAGGAAGGAGCGGGCGACGGUAGGUCAGUAUGCCCCGAAACCCCCGGGCUACACGCGCGCUACAAUGGGCGGGACAAUGGGAUCCGACCCCGAAAGGGGAAGGAAAUCCCCUAAACCCGCCCCCAGUUCGGAUCGCGGGCUGCAACUCGCCCGCGUGAAGCUGGAAUCCCUAGUACCCGCGUGUCAUCAUCGCGCGGCGAAUACGUCCCUGCUCCUUGCACACACCGCCCGUCACUCCACCCGAGCGGGGUCUGGAUGAGGCUCCGUCCUCUGGGCGGGGUC
This 1343-nucleotide ribosomal RNA is filed under the name Thermococcus sp. TVG2. Its description in RNAcentral is "bacterial SSU rRNA". It matches the Rfam family "Archaeal small subunit ribosomal RNA". The record is from RNAcentral. Lineage: Archaea; Methanobacteriati; Methanobacteriota; Thermococci; Thermococcales; Thermococcaceae.